This 462-nucleotide ribosomal RNA is filed under the name uncultured bacterium. Its description in RNAcentral is "partial 16S ribosomal RNA". It matches the Rfam family "Bacterial small subunit ribosomal RNA", at positions 28 to 507 of the family's 1533-position model. The record is from RNAcentral.
GACGAACGCUGGCGGCGUGCUUAACACAUGCAAGUCGAGCGGAAAGGCCCUUCGGGGUACUCGAGCGGCGAACGGGUGAGUAACACGUGAGUAACCUGCCCCAGACUUUGGGAUAACCCUCGGAAACGGGGGCUAAUACCGGAUACGACACAGCUUCGCAUGGGGUCUGUGUGGAAAGUUUUUCGGUUUGGGAUGGGCUCGCGGCCUAUCAGCUUGUUGGUGGGGUGAUGGCCUACCAAGGCGACGACGGGUAGCCGGCCUGAGAGGGCGACCGGCCACACUGGGACUGAGACACGGCCCAGACUCCUACGGGAGGCAGCAGUGAGGAAUAUUGCACAAUGGGCGGAAGCCUGAUGCAGCGACGCCGCGUGAGGGAUGACGGCCUUCGGGUUGUAAACCUCUUUCAGCAGGGACGAAGCGUAAGUGACGGUACCUGCAGAAGAAGCGCCGGCCAACUACGUG